Molecule: ribosomal RNA, 321 nt
Filed under: uncultured Nitrosomonas sp.
Lineage: Bacteria; Pseudomonadati; Pseudomonadota; Betaproteobacteria; Nitrosomonadales; Nitrosomonadaceae
Description: bacterial SSU rRNA
Rfam family: Bacterial small subunit ribosomal RNA
Source: RNAcentral
GACCAGCCACACUGGGACUGAGACACGGCCCAGACUCCUACGGGAGGCAGCAGUGGGGAAUUUUGGACAAUGGGCGCAAGCCUGAUCCAGCAAUGCCGCGUGAGUGAAGAAGGCCUUCGGGUUGUAAAGCUCUUUCAGUUGAAAAGAAAAAGCCGUGACUAAUAAUCAUGGUUCAUGACGGUAUCAACAGAAGAAGCACCGGCUAACUACGUGCCUGCAGCCGCGGUAAUACGUAGGGUGCAAGCGUUAAUCGGAAUUACUGGGCGUAAAGGGUGCGCAGGCGGUUCUGUAAGUCAGAUGUGAGUUCCCCCCCUGGGGGCC